Molecule: ribosomal RNA, 377 nt
Filed under: uncultured bacterium
Lineage: Bacteria
Description: bacterial SSU rRNA
Rfam family: Bacterial small subunit ribosomal RNA
Source: RNAcentral
AUACGUAGGUGGCAAGCGUUGUCCGGAUUUACUGGGCGUAAAGGGUGCGUAGGCGGAUGUUUAAGUGAGAUGUGAAAUCCCCGGGCUUAACCUGGGGGCUGCAUUUCAAACUGGAUAUCUAGAGUGCAGGAGAGGAGAAUGGAAUUCCUAGUGUAGCGGUGAAAUGCGUAGAGAUUAGGAAGAACACCAGUGGCGAAGGCGAUUCUCUGGACUGUAACUGACGCUGAGGCACGAAAGCGUGGGUAGCAAACAGGAUUAGAUACCCUGGUAGUCCACGCCGUAAACGAUGAGUACUAGGUGUAGGAGGUAUCGACCCCUUCUGUGCCGCAGUUAACACAAUAAGUAAUCCACCUGGGGAGUACGGCCGCAAGGUUGAA